This 253-nucleotide ribosomal RNA is filed under the name uncultured bacterium. RNAcentral's name for it is "partial 16S ribosomal RNA". It matches the Rfam family "Bacterial small subunit ribosomal RNA", at positions 524 to 776 of the family's 1533-position model. The record is from RNAcentral.
CACGGGGGGAGCAAGCGUUGUUCGGAAUUACUGGGCGUAAAGGGCGUGUAGGCGGUCAGGUAAGUGAGAUGUGAAAUGCUCCGGCUUACCCGGAGACCUGCAUCUCAUACUGCUUGGCUUGAGUACGGGAGAGGGUGUGGGAAUUCCUGGUGUAGCGGUGAAAUGCGUAGAUAUCAGGAGGAACACCGGUGGCGAAGGCGCACACCUGGCCCGAUACUGACGCUGAGGCGCGAAAGCUAGGGGAGCAAACGGG